GUCUUCAUGGUGUAAUGGUCAGCACAUUCAGUGCGUAUUCAAGAGGUCUGAGGUUCGAGUCCCGGUGAGGGCA
This 73-nucleotide transfer RNA is filed under the name Stegodyphus mimosarum. It matches the Rfam family "tRNA". Rfam says of the family: Transfer RNA (tRNA) molecules are approximately 80 nucleotides in length. Their secondary structure includes four short double-helical elements and three loops (D, anti-codon, and T loops). The record is from Rfam by way of RNAcentral. Lineage: Eukaryota; Metazoa; Arthropoda; Arachnida; Araneae; Eresidae.